RNAcentral lists this ribosomal RNA (995 nucleotides) under uncultured bacterium. Its description in RNAcentral is "bacterial SSU rRNA". It matches the Rfam family "Bacterial small subunit ribosomal RNA", at positions 355 to 1375 of the family's 1533-position model. The record is from RNAcentral.
UGGGGAAUAUUGCACAAUGGGGGAAACCCUGAUGCAGCGACGCCGCGUGGAGGAAGAAGGUCUUCGGAUUGUAAACUCCUGUUGUUGAGGAAGAUAAUGACGGUACUCAACAAGGAAGUGACGGCUAACUACGUGCCAGCAGCCGCGGUAAAACGUAGGUCACAAGCGUUGUCCGGAAUUACUGGGUGUAAAGGGAGCGCAGGCGGGAAGACAAGUUGGAAGUGAAAUCUAUGGGCUCAACCCAUAAACUGCUUUCAAAACUGUUUUUCUUGAGUAGUGCAGAGGUAGGCGGAAUUCCCGGUGUAGCGGUGGAAUGCGUAGAUAUCGGGAGGAACACCAGUGGCGAAGGCGGCCUACUGGGCACCAACUGACGCUGAGGCUCGAAAGUGUGGGUAGCAAACAGGAUUAGAUACCCUGGUAGUCCACACCGUAAACGAUGAUUACUAGGUGUUGGAGGAUUGACCCCUUCAGUGCCGCAGUUAACACAAUAAGUAAUCCACCUGGGGAGUACGACCGCAAGGUUGAAACUCAAAGGAAUUGACGGGGGCCCGCACAAGCAGUGGAGUAUGUGGUUUAAUUCGACGCAACGCGAAGAACCUUACCAAGUCUUGACAUCCCUUGACGAACAUAGAAAUAUGUUUUCUCUUCGGAGCAAGGAGACAGGUGGUGCAUGGUUGUCGUCAGCUCGUGUCGUGAGAUGUUGGGUUAAGUCCCGCAACGAGCGCAACCCUUACUGUCAGUUACUACGCAAGAGGACUCUGGCAGGACUGCCGUUGACAAAACGGAGGAAGGUGGGGAUGACGUCAAAUCAUCAUGCCCUUUAUGACUUGGGCUACACACGUACUACAAUGGCGUUAAACAAAGAGAAGCAAGACCGCGAGGUGGAGCAAAACUCAGAAACAACGUCCCAGUUCGGACUGCAGGCUGCAACUCGCCUGCACGAAGUCGGAAUUGCUAGUAAUCGUGGAUCAGCAUGCCACGGUGAAUACGUUCCC